This 860-nucleotide ribosomal RNA is filed under the name uncultured bacterium. RNAcentral's name for it is "bacterial SSU rRNA". It matches the Rfam family "Bacterial small subunit ribosomal RNA", at positions 21 to 901 of the family's 1533-position model. The record is from RNAcentral.
GGCUCAGGACGAACGCUGGCGGCGUGCCUAACACAUGCAAGUCGAGCGAUGAAGCCCUUCGGGGUGGAUUAGCGGCGGACGGGUGAGUAACACGUGGGUAACCUGCCUCAAAGAGGGGGAUAGCCUCCCGAAAGGGAGAUUAAUACCGCAUAACAUUGGUUUUUCGCAUGGAGAACCAAUUAAAGGAGUAAUCCGCUUUGAGAUGGACCCGCGGCGCAUUAGCUAGUUGGUGAGGUAAAGGCUCACCAAGGCGACGAUGCGUAGCCGACCUGAGAGGGUGAUCGGCCACAUUGGAACUGAGACACGGUCCAGACUCCUACGGGAGGCAGCAGUGGGGAAUAUUGCACAAUGGGCGAAAGCCUGAUGCAGCAACGCCGCGUGAGUGAUGAAGGCCUUCGGGUUGUAAAGCUCUGUCUUUGGGGACGAUAAUGACGGUACCCAAGGAGGAAGCCACGGCUAACUACGUGCCAGCAGCCGCGGUAAUACGUAGGUGGCGAGCGUUGUCCGGAUUUACUGGGCGUAAAGGAUGCGUAGGUGGAUAUUUAAGUCAGAUGUGAAAUACCCGAGCUUAACUUGGGUGCUGCAUUUGAAACUGAACAUCUAGAGUGCAGGAGAGGUAAGUGGAAUUCCUAGUGUAGCGGUGAAAUGCGUAGAGAUUAGGAAGAACACCAGUGGCGAAGGCGACUUACUGGACUGUAACUGACACUGAGGCAUGAAAGCGUGGGUAGCAAACAGGAUUAGAUACCCUGGUAGUCCACGCCGUAAACGAUGAGUACUAGGUGUAGGGGGGUCCAACCUUCUGUGCCGCAGUUAACACAAUAAGUACUCCGCCUGGGAAGUACGAUCGCAGGAUUAAAACU